CGAAUUUCAAAACCUCCUUUCAAUUAUUCACUUUUGCUGAAGCUUCUCCUCCUAUCCUUUUCUUUCUGUCUUUUUCUUUCUCUCUUUCCUCCUCCUUCUUAGCCUUGGUGCUGGUUCAUGGAUAUUGAACCCUUGUGGGCUUUGGGGGGUGGUUUCUUUUUUCUAUUUGCAUGGCAAAACCAAACUCAAAAUCACCAAUUGCUGAAACCAACACAAAAUCUCACCAUUUCUUUCUCUUGUUUGCUCUUGUGAUCUUCAUUUUUCUUUUACUCAUUAGCCCUGCCAAAAAACCCAUAAACCCAUCCAAGGUGACUAUGGCUUCCUCAAUUUCCAUCAAAAGGCUUCUGUUGGAACCCUCAGAAUCAACCUCUUCUACUACUACCAUGACGAACAUGCACCCAAAAAAAUCUCAAAACUCGCAUGCUUCAUCUUCUUCUACUUCAAAAUCAAAAGGUUCAGAGUUUGGAGCUGAAGCUCAUGAAGUUCCCAGCGGACCAAACCCUAUAUCAAACAGGUAAAUAAGUUUUAUGUAAGGGAUGAAUUUGCAUCUGCACUAAGAGGACACCGGAUGAAGAUGCUAGAGUUGUAGCGGCGAAUUUUACGAAUUGUCUUCUUUAUGGUUAUAGCUAUAGUGCACCAAUUAAAACUACUUGUCCUCAGUGAGAAGUUUGUUAAGUUUGCUGUAAUGUCAUCAUCUUUGGCCUUCUUUUCUUUUUUAUUAUUAUUAUUAUUAUUAUUUACUUUCAUUUUUCCCACUUUAUUUUUUGCAAAUUACCGAUGUAAAAAGUAGUUUUGGAUUAGGUAAAUCCCGC
This 812-nucleotide unclassified non-coding RNA is filed under the name Hevea brasiliensis (rubber tree). The record is from RNAcentral. Lineage: Eukaryota; Viridiplantae; Streptophyta; Magnoliopsida; Malpighiales; Euphorbiaceae.